UUGGAUUGAUGAGGAAAGAGGGGUACACGAUUUUAGCAUAGUAGUGGAUGCAGGAGAUGGAGCCCCGUGGCGGAGACGAGUACGAAGGAAGUUUUACCCACGCGGCGUGCCAGCUGUGAGGGCCGUGGAGUCCGUGAUUGCGUGCAGGAUGGAGCAUGAGGGACCCACGUAUGCCCUCAGUCCGCUACACUACACACUUCCCAUCUCAUUAAUCAUAU
RNAcentral lists this long non-coding RNA (218 nucleotides) under Phaseolus vulgaris (common bean). RNAcentral describes it as "long non-coding RNA (PVUL_LNC001567)". Lineage: Eukaryota; Viridiplantae; Streptophyta; Magnoliopsida; Fabales; Fabaceae. The record is from RNAcentral.